CCCUUACCCCGUCUCGCCCCUUACCCUGCGGCCGGCUCUGCACCCUGCCUAUUAUAAUAUUCUGAGCCACAUCCUGUGAGCUGUCUUACAGAUACUGAAACCCUAGGAAGAGAAGUUCACUACAUGAUGAUCAGGCUGAACCCAGGACAUGAGCUGCCACAAUUCUGAGAAUUGACUGCAAAGAAAUGGGAACAGAUGGACCCUGGGCCUAAAGACGAAGCACCUAAAACAACCAAGAUGACGCUGGUCGGACCACUGAGGACCAGUUGAAGAAGCAGAAGAUAUUAAAAAAAGAUGGGAAUAAUACACAGAAGAACUAUACAAAAAAGAUCUUCGUGACCCAGAUAACCACGAUGGUGUGAUCACUCAUCCAGAGCCAGACAUCCUGGAAUGUAAAGUCAAG
Bos taurus (domestic cattle) is the source of this 403-nucleotide long non-coding RNA. The record is from Ensembl. NCBI's taxonomy places the organism in Eukaryota, Metazoa, Chordata, Mammalia, Artiodactyla, Bovidae.